Molecule: long non-coding RNA, 156 nt
Organism: Neltuma alba
Lineage: Eukaryota; Viridiplantae; Streptophyta; Magnoliopsida; Fabales; Fabaceae
Exons: 2
Source: RefSeq, a predicted model, not a curated record
AUCUAUAUCCGUUUCUGCCCAGUUCUUCCCCACUUUCCCUGUACCAGGUACUACCAUCUUCAUUAGUGCCCGACUCGCAUGCUCUUUUAGAUUCCAUUAUUGGCCAAAUUGAAUAGCCUUCUAGCCGAUCUUCAGGCCAAACAACCAUCGUAAUGU